RNAcentral lists this ribosomal RNA (588 nucleotides) under uncultured bacterium. RNAcentral's name for it is "bacterial SSU rRNA". It matches the Rfam family "Bacterial small subunit ribosomal RNA", at positions 54 to 635 of the family's 1533-position model. The record is from RNAcentral.
CAUGCAAGUCGAGCGGUAACAGAAAGUAGCUUGCUACUCUGCUGACGAGCGGCGGACGGGUGAGUAAUGCUUGGGAACAUGCCUUGAGGUGGGGGACAACAGUUGGAAACGACUGCUAAUACCGCAUAAUGUCUACGGACCAAAGGGGGCUUCGGCUCUCGCCUUUAGAUUGGCCCAAGUGGGAUUAGCUAGUUGGUGAGGUAAUGGCUCACCAAGGCAACGAUCCCUAGCUGGUUUGAGAGGAUGAUCAGCCACACUGGAACUGAGACACGGUCCAGACUCCUACGGGAGGCAGCAGUGGGGAAUAUUGCACAAUGGGCGCAAGCCUGAUGCAGCCAUGCCGCGUGUGUGAAGAAGGCCUUCGGGUUGUAAAGCACUUUCAGUCAGGAGGAAAGAUUAGUAGUUAAUACCUGCUAAUUGUGACGUUACUGACAGAAGAAGCACCGGCUAACUCCGUGCCAGCAGCCGCGGUAAUACGGAGGGUGCGAGCGUUAAUCGGAAUUACUGGGCGUAAAGCGUACGCAGGGCGGUUUGUUAAGCGAGAUGUGAAAGCCCCGGGCUCAACCUGGGAACUGCAUUUUCGAACUG